RNAcentral lists this ribosomal RNA (497 nucleotides) under uncultured bacterium. RNAcentral describes it as "partial 16S ribosomal RNA". It matches the Rfam family "Bacterial small subunit ribosomal RNA", at positions 28 to 507 of the family's 1533-position model. The record is from RNAcentral.
GAUGAACGCUGGCGGCGUGCCUAAUACAUGCAAGUCGAGCGAACGGACGAGACGCUUGCUUCUCUGAUGUUAGCGGCGGACGGGUGAGUAACACGUGGAUCACCUACCUAUCCGACUGGGAUCACUUCGGGAAACCGGCGCUUAUACCGGAUAAUCUUUUGAACCGCGUUGUUCAAAAGUGAAAGACGGUCUUGCUGUCUCUUCUAGCUGGAUCCGCGCUGCAUUAGCUAGUUGGUAAGGUCACGGGCUACCAAGGCAAGGAUGCGUAGACGACCGAUGAGGGUGGUCGCCCACAUGGGAGCUGAGACACGGACCAGACGCCUACGGGAGGGAGCAGAAGCGAAUGUGCCGCAGUAGGCGAGAGCCUGACGGAACAGCGCGGCGUGAGAGAUGAAGGCCUCCGGAGCGGGAUGCUCUGUUAUUGGGGAUAAACAGAUGUCGAAGGAGCUGAGCACAGAUUGACGGUACCGAGUCAGAAAGCCACGGCUAACUACGUG